Molecule: RNA transcript, 1840 nt
Organism: Nicotiana attenuata
Lineage: Eukaryota; Viridiplantae; Streptophyta; Magnoliopsida; Solanales; Solanaceae
Gene name: probable 2-oxoglutarate-dependent dioxygenase At3g49630
Exons: 5
Source: RefSeq, a predicted model, not a curated record
UAACUCCGCUCACACCUGCACUCAUCUUCACCCACGAUACAGAACACUCCACUCAAUUUCUCUCUGAAAAUACACGCGCUUUUUUGGCAGAUCUAAUAAGGGUAAUUGCUCUAGCAUUGGGUGGAUCAGCGAAUGGAAUUGUUGUCAGUGGUGAUCCAUUUUGGUUUUGUAAACAACUGGUUUACCUUGCUGCAUCGAUCUCAGGUGGGCAUAACAAUGUUGUUUGAUGGUAUAAGUCCUCUUUUGGACAAGUUGGAUCGUCCGAAUAUGGAGAUGAAGUUGUGGCUCAAGUUGUUGGAGAAUUAGAUCUGGCUUGUAGAAAAGCUGGAUUUUUUACGUCGUAAUUAUUCCUUCUCCUACUAAAUUUUCUUUCUAUUUGAUGUUAUUGGUGGUCCUAAUUGCAGCCUAGCUUUUAUAUCUAUUGAAUUUCCAAUAUUUUUGAAAAUAGUGUGCUGUCUCUGUGAACGAAGCUUAGCUUCUCCUGAGUUUUAAGUCUUGUUUGGAUCUUUCAAGGUCCAUGGUAUCCGUCUUUCCCCUAUGAAAGAGAUUAGAAGCAUUGCACGUGAAUAUUUUCAUCAUCCUUAUGAGGAUAAACUCAAGAUCAAACUUUCUGCCUCAACUGGAUACAGAGGAUAUCAAAGAAUUGGAGAGCAUAUAACCAAAGACACACCUGAUAUGCAUGAAGCAAUUGAUGUAGGUUAUACUAAUUACCUAUGGUCUAUAUAUUGCAGAAAAAAAGUGUACCACUUGUUGUAUAAUGGUUUUCUCAAAGCUUUCUUGGGUUUUCUUCACCGUUUCACCCGUAAGCCCGUGCUUAUAGCUACUAUAAUCUUUUCUUAUUCUGGCCCAAUAGCUUAAUAUCUCUACUGAUAUAAAUAUGCAGUCUUUGGAUCCAAGAAAGGUGACAUCAAACUUGUACGGAGCAAACGAUAUGCACUGGCAAACUGUUAAAGCAAGAAAGUAUAUGCCUGUCGUGCUUGUCUCAUUAAAGUAGCCAGUGGUUAAAAUAAAAAGAAAAGUCUUAUUUUCUGUUGUUAGCCUCAUCUUGAUCAUAUCUUCUGUGUAGAGUUUGUGUGUGUUUAUUAGAAAAAAAAAAGAAAAGAUUUUAAACAAUGUAUAGAUUGUAAAGUUAUUCCUAUUUACCCUCUACCACUUGGGAUUGGGGCUCGUUCCCCUUUAGGUGAGGCCUUGUUUUUCUAGCUCAACUGUGAACAUAAUUAAUUCAUUCACAAAUUGACUAAGCUCUUCUCAAUGUUACUUUGUCAUCUUUGAUGCGCUUCUCUUUCUAUCUUGUUUGUUGGUUACAGUGCUAUAGAGAAGUGAAACAUGGGAUAUAUGGAGAUCUUGGAGAAGUUAUGCAAGGAUCCAACACACGGCCAAGUAACCCUCCAAAUUUCAAGCAGUUAAUGGAGGAGUAUGUUGACUGUUGCACGGGUGCCUUGCUCUAUUACAUACUCUUUUGACAUUUUUGCAGGCACUAAUAAAGGUUUUCUACAUGGAAGUGACACGAAAUUGGUGAAAUCUUGUAUUACACUACUGACAGAUCUAUCACGAAAGAUAAUGAGGGGAAGUGUUGGGUGGAUCAUCGGAUGAAAUGGAGGGUGAAAUAGGUGGUGAUCCAUUUUGGGUCUUGCGAAUAAUUGGCUACCCUGUUGCGUCCAUUUCAAAUGGACAUGAGUCGGAUGGUAAGUCGCGGUGUUGGUUGUCACGUUUUUCCUUGUUUCUCAAAUCCUAUUUCUUUUUUGUUAUCGGUGUAUCUCUUUUCCAAUGAGUGACGUUUUUUCUUUGUGUUGUUCAUCUCUUUUUUUGGAAUCGUAUAAAUCUCAUCCUGAUUUUACAA